UACAGGGGGUGCAAACGUUGCUCGGAAUCAUUGGGCGUAAAGCGCACGUAGGCGGUUCGUUAUGUCGGAUGUGAAAGCCCUUGGCUUAACCGAGGAAGUGCAUCCGAAACUGGCGAGCUAGAGUACGAAAGAGGAUCGCGGAAUUCCCGGUGUAGAGGUGAAAUUCGUAGAUAUCGGGAGGAACACCGGUGGCGAAGGCGGCGAUCUGGGUCGAUACUGACGCUGAGGUGCGAAGGCGUGGGGAGCGAACAGG
RNAcentral lists this ribosomal RNA (253 nucleotides) under uncultured bacterium. RNAcentral's name for it is "partial 16S ribosomal RNA". It matches the Rfam family "Bacterial small subunit ribosomal RNA", at positions 524 to 776 of the family's 1533-position model. The record is from RNAcentral.